UAACUUUAGGUGCUGGGGUUUGAAUUUUGUUAUCUUAGAGCACUUUCAUUUGCCAUGGUAAAGGGUAAGGAUAAGUAAGGGCGGUUAUUGUUCACAUUAACAGUAUUUACUCUAGUAAAUAUUUUUGUUGUUUUUCCACCCAUUGCCAUGACAACUCAAGAGCAAUUACUAUUCACAUGGAAUUAAUAAAUAAAAAUUGCUAGGUAUAUAUAUGUAAACUCUGAAUUUUUUGGUUUUUUUUUUUCUCAAUUUUUUUCUUCACUAGCGUCAGCACCUCAGGCAAAAGCUCAGGUUGUUCUUGCCUUCAGGCUUGCCUAGUUUUAGUGGAGCCCACCUCCUACUCGGGCUGCAAUUCAUUGGUAGAGUGACUUUCACCAGCCCAGGAGGUCUUUUGCCUUGGCAAUUUGUAAUACUAGAACUGCUCUUACCCAUGUGGUUUAUCUUUAGGGAGCUUCACUAAUAUACCCAAAAUAGGGUCUGAAAUCAUUAAAAAACCUCAUAUGAAAUGCACUUUAGAAACACACUACUACAUAAAAAAUGAGUAUUGAAGUUCCUAUAAAUUACAUAACUGUCAUUGAUAAACUUAAAACAAGCCCAAUACAAAAAAC
This 608-nucleotide long non-coding RNA is filed under the name Prunus persica (peach). RNAcentral's name for it is "long non-coding RNA (PPER_LNC000393)". Lineage: Eukaryota; Viridiplantae; Streptophyta; Magnoliopsida; Rosales; Rosaceae. The record is from RNAcentral.